Molecule: long non-coding RNA, 1833 nt
Organism: Gopherus evgoodei (Goodes thornscrub tortoise)
Lineage: Eukaryota; Metazoa; Chordata; Testudines; Testudinidae
Exons: 2
Source: RefSeq, a predicted model, not a curated record
GGCACACAAAACCUUAAAUUAGAGUGAAUAAAUGAAGACUCGGCACACCACUUCUGAAAGGUUGCCGACCCCUGACGUAGGCAAUAGAAUUCCCCACUGAUCUGAUGUGUCUUUGUUUUGAUGAACCUUGCUAUCCAUCGUAGACAUUUUAAGGAGCUAUCACCUUAGUGGUAUGUAAGAACCACUGCAUGCAACCCUCUCUUGCUGAGGGAUCCUGACUGGCUGGAGGCUAGCUGUCUCACUUCCAUUUUGGAAUGUUCCAUUUUAAUUAGGUUAGUCAUUCAUUUUUUAAAAAAGGUAAACCAAGAAACUGAAUCUCAAAGUACUGGGAGGUUAGAAAUAGCUGAUUAACAGCUUUGUUGAAAUAUAUUGGUAAUGAUAUAUGUAGGGUGACCAGAUGUCCCAAUUUUAUAGGGACAGUCCCAAUUUUUGGGUCUUUUUCUUAUACAGGCUCCUAUCACGCCCCCCCCCCGCACCCCCUGUCCUGAUUUUUCACAAUUCCUGUCUGGUCACCUUAGAUAUAUGGUGUGAAGGGCAGAAUGCAAUACUAAAUGGAAACAAACUCACCCCAUACUAAAGUCAGGGGACUAUAAAUCAAAACAUUAGGGACUAAAGUUGGGAGCUAAACUCCCCAGCAGAAGGACUUUUAUAUGGCUUCUUGCCAGCCAGGGGAAAGGUACCUGCUCAGCUGAGGUGCUGGAAGAGAGUUUAGCUAAAGCUGCUGGAAGGGCUAUACCAAAGGAACUACUGCUCCAACAGAUACAGACUGGACUGUUUCUUGUUUGUCAUGGAAGAGAGGGAUGGAUGAAUUGUUCCAGUGUCCAUUAAAAUUUCUAUUGCCUGCUGUGUAGUGUCUUCUACGAAGGAGAUGAACCUGCUGCAAAUGAAAUCAGUUGAGGCUGCAUUGUAUUUAUAGAGCAACAGAAAUCUUUGUAGAUUAUUUUUUCCAAGAAUCAUGAAUCUCCUUCAGUGUUACAAGUCACUGUAAUCAAUUAAUAGGAGGCAUAUUUUCAUUUUCAAUUAAAAUACGGGCCAUGCACAGUCUAUGUGCAUCCUGGCAGAUGUUUAAAAGCGUUGGCUCUCAGAGGUGAAAUGUUACCUUAUAUCUGCAGGGGGUGGUGAGAGGGUAUUCCAGGAAUGGAAAGACAUGUUAAAGUGCAGCAUUUCAGACUGUCUUCUUUUCUAAAUUUACAGCAUCAGACUGGCAGUUGUAUAAAUGAAUGAUAGACUGCAAUACUCUUUUCCAAGCAGGCUAUGAAAUGAGGGAGCCUUCAGUUUUGUGCUGAUGUGUCCAGAAUUCAAAUAAUUUGUUUCUUGACUAUAAUGACAAUCGGAAGCAUGGUAUUACCUUGAGAAAAGAGAUGGGAGAGACAGCUGCAGUACCCUGUACUCAUGAAAGAUAUUGCAUUAGCAACUGCUUCCCAGUUAGUCUCUCUACUGAAAACUCUAUUAUGCUGGGCUCUUAUUGCUUUUAUUCAAGGGCACAAAACUAAAAAGUGAUAUUGCUGGCACUAUUCUCAUCUUUCUGCCAUGACACUGAAUAAUUGGACAAUGAAAGAAAAUGUUGAAUGAUACUGAUAUUAAACACAUCUAUAGGACAAUGCAUUUGAACAUCAGCUGAUGAAGUAAUAUCCAUAUAAUUAUGCUACUUCUACUACUUUGAAAUCACCUGUUUUCAUUUUUGUUGUUGGUGAUGGAACAUUUUAUUUUCCCGUAAUUGCUGGAGACAUGCCCUGUUUUAAGGAAUAUACUUGUGAAAGUGAUAUGUUUGAGAUGCUUCCCAAGUUAACCCCAUCACUGUAUUGGUCCUUUCUAUUAAAGGAGUAGGACAUC